CUCGGGAGGCUGAGGCAGGAGAAUGGCAUGAACCCUGGAGGCGGAGGUUGCAGUGAGCCGAGAUCGCACCACUGCACUCCAGCUUGUGACUCCGUCUCAAAAAAAAAAAAAAAAAAAGACCUAUAUUUUAUUAUCCUAUUUUUAAAAUAUUCUACUGUUUCCUAACAAUCCACAGCUAUUUUUUCCAUUACUUUAUUCUACUAUCUCCUAAACAAGUGGUUUGCAAAGAUGUUUCUGUAAGGGACAAUUCAUAAAAGAUGAGGCCGGGUGUAGUGGCUCAUGCCUGUAAUCCCAGCACUUUGGGAGGCCAAAGCAGGCGGAUCACCUGAGGUCAGGAGUUGGAGACCAGCUUGGCCAACAUGGUGAAACCCUGUCUCUACUAAAAAUACAAAAAUUAGCCAAGCGUAGUGGUGGGCGCCUGUAAUUCCAGCUACUCGGGAGGCCGAGGCAGGAUAAUUACUUGAACCCAGGAGACAAAUGUUGCAGUGAGCCAACAUGGUGCCACUGUACUCCAGCCUGGGUGACAGAGUGAGACUCCAUCUCAAAAAAAAAAAGAAAGAAAGAAAGAAAAUGUUUUUAAAGGUAUAUAUAGUCAUGCAAAGAGCUUUAUUGCAUUGGGUGGGGUAUAUUUUUAUGACUUAAUUUACCUACCUUGAUGGAUUCUACGGUGAUGAUUAGGAAUGAGAAAAUGUCUGACAUGUAAUAAGCACUGUCUUAGUUCAGGCUCAUAUAACAAAUUACCAUAGAUUGGGUGGCUUAGAUAACAUGUAGUUCUCAGUUCUGACAGCUGGAAUUCCCAAGAUCAGGGCACCAGUAUGGUUGGGCCCUGGUGAUGGCCGUCUUACCAGUUGUACACAGCUGACUUCUCCCUGUAGUCUUACAUGGUGGAAAGAGGAUUAGCUAACUCUGUGGCCUCUUCUUCUAAGGGGACACUGAUCCCUUUCAUGAGAGAUCAUCCCUCAUAACCUAUUACCUUCCAAAAGCCCCACCUCCAAACACCACCAUAUUGGGGACUAGAUUUUAACAUAUGAAUUUUGAGGAGACACAUUCAGAGUCCAUAACAAGCACUCAGUAAAUUUUUUUUUUUUUUUGAGACGGAGUUCACUCUUGUUGCCCAGGCUGGAGUGCAAUGGCACGAUCUUGGCUCACCACAACCUCCGCCUCCUGGGUUCAAGCGCUUCUGCCUCAGCCUCCCGAGUAGCUGAGAUUACAGGCGUGUGACACCAUGCCCGGCUAAUUUUGUGUUUUUAGUAGAGACAGGGUUUCUCCAUAUCGGUCAGGAUGGUCUCAAACUCCCGACCUCAGGUGAUCCACCCGCCUCAGCCUCCCAAAGUGCUGGGAUUACAGGCGUGAGCCACCAUGCCCGACUGCACUCAGUAAAUAUUAUCCAAACAUAAGAUUUUCUUUUCUUUUUUCUUUUUCUUUCUUUUUUUUUUUUUUUUUUUUGUUUUUUUGAGAUAGAGUCUCACUGUUGCCCAGGCUGGAGUACAGUGGCAUGAUCUCAGCUCACUACAACCUCCGUCUCCCGGGUUCAAGCAAUUCUCCUGCCUCAGCCUCCUGAGUAGCUGGGAUGACAGGCGCCCGCCACCAUGCCCAGCUAAUUUUUGUAUUUUUAGUAGAGAUGGGGUUUCACCAUAUUGGCCAGGCUGCUCUCGAACUCCUGACCUUGUGAUCUGUGCACCUCGGCCUCCCAAAGUGCUAGGAUUACAGGCAUGAGCCACCACAUCUGGCCAAACAUAACUAUUCUUAUAGUUAUAAUAAUUCCAUGAAAUAGGUCCUACUACCUCCCUCUUUUUUGUAGUUGUUGAUUUUUAAUUUUUAAGAGAUGAGGUCUCACCACGUUGUCCAGGCUGGACUUGAACUCCCAGGCUCAAGUAAUCCUCCCACCUAAACCUCUUGAGUAGCUGGGAUGACAGGCGCACACUACCACGCCCAGCUAGCUCCUUUAUUUAUUUAUUUAUUUAUUUAUAGACAGGGUCUUGCUCUGUCGCCCAGGCGAGAGCAGAGUGGCAUAAUAAUGGCUCCCUGCAGCCCCGACCUCCCAGGCUUAAGCAGUCCUCCCACCUCACCCUCCCAAGUAGCUGGGACCACAGGCGUGUGCCAUCACACCUGGCUAAUGUUUUUAUUUUUGUGGAGAUGGAGUCUCCUUAUGUUGCCCAGGCUGAUCCUGAACUCCUGGGCUCAAGCGAUCCUCCCAUCUUGGCUUCCUAAAAUGCUGGAAUUACAAGCAUGAGCCACAAUGCCUGGCUUACCUUUCUUAUUUUACAGAUGAAAAAAUGAAAGCAGGGCGGGGCGCGGUAGCUCACACCUAUAUCCCAGUACUUUGGGAGGCUGAGGCGGGCAGAUCACCUGAGGUCAGGAGUUCAAGAUCAGCCUGACCAACAUGGAGAAACCCCGUCUCUACUAAAAAUACAAAAUUAGUCGGACGUGGUGGCACAUGCCUAUAAUCCCAGCUACUCAGGAGGCUGAGGCAGGAGAAUUGCUUGAACCCGGGAGGCAGAGGUUGCGGUGAGCUGAGAUUGUGCCAUUGCACUCCAGCCUGGGCGAGAGUGAGACUGUCUCAAAAAAAAAAGAAAAAAGAAAAAGAAAGCCGUGCGUAUUGGCACGAUCCUGUGAUCCCAGAUACUUGAGAGGCUGAGGUGGGAGGAUCACUUGAAACCCAGAGGCAGAGGUUACAGCGAGCUCAGCUGGCACCACUGCACUCCAGCCUGGGCAACAGAGCAAGACCCUGUCUCAAAAGAAAACAAAACAACAAAAGCAAGCCAAAAAGAAAAAGAAAGUUGCACAAAGUCACACAAGAGUGAACAGUAGGACAGGGAUUAAAACCCAAAUCCUCUGACCCAAGAGCUCAAACUCUAAGCCAGGAAAACAUUUUUUUUUUUUUUUUGGUUUUAAGGAGCGAAAAGUUUAACAACCAAGAAAGAAGGAAGAAAGAAGAGAACAGCUCCCCCACACAGAGACAAGGAAGGGGGUCUUGGAACAAAGAGAAACCCCCAGAAAAGCUUUUAAUGAAGGUAGCUCUGAGCCAGGCAGAAAGGAAAAGGUUAUUAGGCAGCUAUUAUUAUGGCUAUGUUGUGCUAAGCGCUCGCUCUCGGUAAGGGAGUGGUUCUCAGCACUAGACUGGACUUCAGUCUUCAGAUGAAGGACUCCUGAGCACAAGUUUAUAACAACCUGCAAUAGGGAAAUAAACCCUAUAAAUGUGGGCGGGGCUUUCUCUAACAUAAAGUUUAUGCAUUCACUUAGAACAUCCCACAGCAAAGGCUGGGCACGGUGGCACAUGCCUGUAAUCUCAGCACUUUGGGAAGCCGAGGCAGGCGGAUCACCUGAGGUCAGGAGUUUGAGACCAGCGUGGCCAACAUGGUGAAAUCCCGUCUCUACUAAAUACACAAAAAUUAGCCGAGCAUGGUGGCACACGCCUGUAAUCCCAGCUACUUGGGAGGCUGAGGCAGGAGAAUCGCUUGAACCUGAGAGGCAGAGGUUGCAGUAAGCCGAGAUCGCACCACUGCACUCUAGCCUGGGCGACAGAGGGAGACUCCAUCUCAACAGAAAAAAAAAAAAAAAGAACAUCCCACAGCAGAAGUUCGUUCAUUUAUUCAUUCAUUUAUUUUAUUGUUCAACAACUACAUCUUAGUGUUACAACUCUUUUACAAUUUGUCUAGCAGGCUUUCUGGUUUUUGCCAGAAAGCCCCCUUAAGAAAACUAAAAAAAAACAAAACAAACAAAAAAAAAAACUAAAAAAAAAAACCCUACAUCUUUCUUUCUUUUUUUUUGAGACAGGGUCUCACUCUGUCCCCCAGGCUGGAGUGCAGUGGCAUGAUCUCAGCUCACUGCAAACUCUGCCUUCUGGGUUUAGGCGAUCCUCCUGCCUCAGCCUCCCGAGUAGCUGGGAUUACAGGCACACACCACCACGCCCAGCUAAUUUUUGUAUUUUUAGCAGAGGCGGGUUUUCACCAUGUUGGCCAGGCUGGUCUCGAACUCUUGACCUCAAGUGAUCUGUCCACCCAAGCCUCCCAAAAUGCUGGGAUUAGAGGCGUGAGCCACCACUGCACGUGGCCAAAAAACGACAUCUUAAGCACCUAUUAGAAGCCAGGCACCGUAUUCAGUUUUGUGCCCAAUGUUGUGAAUACAAUAUUCAGCCCACAAAGGCAAGGAUCCCACAAUCCUUACUCAAACACAGUGAUCAUCAUCAAAGUAAUGUGAAUUUUAAAAGGCUGGAAAUUGGGAGGCCAAGGCAGGUGGAUCAACCUGAGAUCAGGAGUUUGAGACCAGCCUGACCAACGUAGUGAAACCCCGUCUCUACUAAAAAUACAAAAAUUAGCCAGGCAUGGUGGCACAUUCCUGUAAUCCCAGCUACUUGGGAGGCUGAGGCAGGAGAAUCGCUUGAACCCGGGAGGCAGAGGUUGCAGUGAGCCGAGAUUGUACCAUUGCAUUGCACUCCAGCCUUGGCGAUAAGAGUGAACUCUAUCUCAAAAAAUAAAAUAAAAUUAAAUAAAUAAAUAAAAAUAAAUAAAAGUUGGAAUUUAAAAUUGGGUAAGGCAUUUGAUUUUCAAUCAUAAACUUAUUAUUUUGUUUUCUUUUGUUGUUGUUGCUGUUCUGCCUGGACAAUCCC
This 4609-nucleotide long non-coding RNA is filed under the name Homo sapiens (human). Its description in RNAcentral is "HSALNT0269058". The stretch from base 3629 to 3690 matches the Rfam family "U7 small nuclear RNA". Lineage: Eukaryota; Metazoa; Chordata; Mammalia; Primates; Hominidae. The record is from RNAcentral.